This is a long non-coding RNA of Strigops habroptila (Kakapo), 139 nucleotides long. RefSeq lists it as uncharacterized. The record is from RefSeq and is a predicted model, not a curated record. The transcript has 3 exons. NCBI's taxonomy places the organism in Eukaryota, Metazoa, Chordata, Aves, Psittaciformes, Psittacidae.
CUGGAUUUGGAGAAGGCUGAGGUUCUCAAUGACUUCUUUGCCUCAGUCUUCACCGGCAAGUGCUCUGACCACACCGCCCAAGUCCUGGAAGGCAGAUACAGGGACUCAGUGAAUGAAGACCUUAGGCCCACUGUAGGAG